CACCGCCUUGCGACUAAAUAUGGUACCAACUUAACGCAACGAGUUAACGAACUCAUUCUGUUAUUGUUCCGUGAUCGAUGAUCAUUCGUUGAAGUUCGUUGAAUGUUGAACUGUGCUUGUGAUAAUAUUUGUUCUUCUGGAGGCCUAUUCUGUAACUUUUAACAAAUGCGUUAUAACUGUAACGCAUGCGUUAGUCGUCGUAUCGUCGACGAAUUCAUGGUUAACAAAUGAAUUAUAGUUAUAACGCAUGCGUUAAAAGUUACAGAAUAAGUCUGCUGGAUCGAUUGCUAUUCUAAUAAAGAAGUCAUCACCAACAAAAAUGAGUGAAAGUCCACCGUUUAUUAUCAAAAUUUAUUACAUAACAUUAUUGUGAAUGCAGUAUAAGCAAUAUAUUUUAGUACUGAUGUUGUUCUUGUAUUAUUUUUACAUCUAUCAUAGGAAAGUAGGAAUCGUCGUAGAAAUACGAACAAGCAAAUAAUUAAUGAAUUAGUUAGGCAAUGUAGGAAUCAAAGAAAAUUGGACGAUUUAAGAAAUCGAAUUACUACUGUCUACAAGACAGAGGCUUCAUCCGAUGAAGAGGUUUCAUCCGAUGAAGAGGUUUCAUCCAAUGAAAAGGUUUCAUCCGAUGAAGAGAAUAAUGAAAUGCUGCCCAUUCCAGGGAUUGAAGAUAUUUUUUUAUUAGAAACAAAUUCUGAAGUAUCAACAGAAUCUGAUGCAUCUAUCGAUCAACUUGAAAAUGAAAAUAUGGAUGAUAACAAUAAUUAUAAUAAUGACAAUGACAGUGAAUUACAUUUUGAAGAUGAGAAUAAUGACAGCGAAGGAAGUGUUGAAAUUAAUGAUGCUAACAGAUAUAGUAACGAUGAAGAAAAUGAUGAUUUAAUGAUUGAAUUUGAAAAUGACGAACAGAGAGGACGCUAUGUUUUAAAAACAUUGAGGGAGUGGGCCCUUGAAGGAGGUGUGUUAUCUAUGAAGAAGUUAAAUGAUUUACUUCGUAGAUUGAGAGUAUUGUUUCCCAUCUUACCUAAAAGCUACAAAACCGUUAGGUGAUAAUAAAAAAAUUGUAGCAUCAAGACUUAUGACCAAAUUGAUGACUAAUUCCUUAGCGAAACAAUUCAACUUUGAUGGUCAUAAUCCUCAAAAGGCUAAAGUUAAUAAAAGGCCAUUUAAGAAACUGAAACUAUGGGAAUUAUUUCAAGGAGUUAUGCUAUUAAAAUUUCCUACCAGUGAUUUGGAAGAUGCCUUAAAUGCAGUCAGAAAUUGGCUACGAAACGCUGCUGGGCGUAAGCAAUAAAAUGUGCAAUUUCAUUUUUUUUAUUUUUAACAGAAUCUAAUGUAUAAGAAAAGCAGAGGUAAAAAGUGCUCGCAUACGAGAAUAUUGCGUUGUGAUAUCUUAUUAUUCUUAGACGACUCUUUACAAGGUCUUUUUCUCGAUACAAAUUAGCACGGGGGAGGUUUCCCAUUAAAAGGGAAGAGGUCAUUUAAUAUUCGUCAUAAAAUGCAAUUAAUUAUUUUUUUUUCUUGAAUGUGAAAUAUGAUCUCUAUUCAUGUGCAAUUUGCGAAGUCUUAUGUCAUUUUUAUUUUGUUAUUGUAUUUUUGAUAUUGCUGCUUUAUUUUGAAUAUUAUUUGUCUUAUUUUUUAUUUAUGUAACUGAUAAGACAUUGUCAGGUUUAAAUUUGAUUUGAAUUAUUACAUAUAAAAGUUUUUAGUUGAAGUAUGUAUAUGUAGAAUAUA
Nylanderia fulva is the source of this 1731-nucleotide non-coding RNA. Lineage: Eukaryota; Metazoa; Arthropoda; Insecta; Hymenoptera; Formicidae. The record is from RefSeq and is a predicted model, not a curated record.